This 615-nucleotide ribosomal RNA is filed under the name Triticum aestivum (bread wheat). RNAcentral describes it as "partial small subunit ribosomal RNA". Lineage: Eukaryota; Viridiplantae; Streptophyta; Magnoliopsida; Poales; Poaceae. The record is from RNAcentral.
AUGGUCAAGCUCCUCGCCGACCUCCUCCACGACGUCCCGCCCGCGCCCUGCACCGGCCUCGCCCGCCCCCGCCCCCGCCCACGUCUCCUCGCUCCUCCUGCUCCUGCCUCCCCACACCGUCUCCCCGCUCUCGCUCUCCCUCCCCGCGCUUUCCUUCAUAUGCGCACGCCGUCCGUCUCGCCACCUUCCCCGGCACGCCGCAUCACUCUGAACCAGUAUGCGGCUUCCCACAUAUCGUUCCCCCUUGUCAAGAUUCGUCAGCUCACCCUUGCCCGUGUCCUGUUCGAUGAAAUGCCGCAGUCUGGUGUUCGCCUGGAUGAGUAUGCUUACACGGCUGGGAUUCGGGCUUCGGCGAGGCAGGGUAUCUCACGACGCGGAGAGGCUCGUGGUGUCGUAUGUACUGCUGUAUGGAUUGAAGCAAGAAUCAACGCAUUCAGUGCUAAUGAAGUGACCUACUGGGCGUUGCUGUAUGGAUUUUGGUUGGACGGAGGAGCUGUAAAUGGCAUUGAGAAUGGCAGCAUGACCAGGUUUAGUUUCGUGUCAUCGGAGGCCAAUUCGUAUUUAUGCUUGAUGGGCUACGAAAGAGGGGGCAGUUUGAGGAGGCUUUCAGUUUAG